This 299-nucleotide ribosomal RNA is filed under the name uncultured bacterium. RNAcentral describes it as "partial 16S ribosomal RNA". It matches the Rfam family "Bacterial small subunit ribosomal RNA", at positions 46 to 339 of the family's 1533-position model. The record is from RNAcentral.
AGGCUUAACACGUGCAAGUCGAGGGGCAGCGCGGGGCGGCAACGUCCUGGCGGCGACCGGCGGAAGGGUGCGUAACGCGUGAGCGACAUGCCCGUUGCCCGGGGACAACCGGUGGAAACGCCGACUAAUCCCCGAUGGGACGGAGGCCCCCAUGGGUCUCUGUUGAAAGUUACGGCGGCGACGGAUUGGCUCGCGUCCGAUUAGCUAGUUGGCGGGGUAACGGCUCACCAAGGCUACGAUCGGUAGGGGUUCUGAGAGGAAGGUCCCCCACAAUGGAACUGAGACACGGUCCAUACUCC